This 198-nucleotide ribosomal RNA is filed under the name uncultured bacterium. Its description in RNAcentral is "partial 16S ribosomal RNA". It matches the Rfam family "Bacterial small subunit ribosomal RNA", at positions 328 to 539 of the family's 1533-position model. The record is from RNAcentral.
ACGCUCGACACCUACUGGAGGCAGCAGUGGGGAAUAUUGCACAAUGGGGGAAACCCUGAUGCAGCGACGCCGCGUGAAGGAAGAAGUAUCUCGGUAUGUAAACUUCUAUCAGCAGGGAAGAAAAUGACGGUACCUGACUAAGAAGCCCCGGCUAACUACGUGCCAGUAGCCGCGGUAAUCUGAGCGGGCUGGCAAGGC